RNAcentral lists this transfer RNA (72 nucleotides) under Nanobdellota archaeon. RNAcentral describes it as "tRNA-Thr". It matches the Rfam family "tRNA". Rfam says of the family: Transfer RNA (tRNA) molecules are approximately 80 nucleotides in length. Lineage: Archaea; Nanobdellati; Nanobdellota. The record is from RNAcentral.
GCCUCAGUAGCUCAGUGAUAGAGCGACUGCCUUGUAAGCAGUAGGUCGGGGGUUUGAAUCCCUCCUGAGGCU